ACAUGCAAGUCGAGCGAACAGAUGAGAAGCUUGCUUCUCUGAUGUUAGCGGCGGACGGGUGAGUAACACGUGGGUAACCUACCUAUAAGACUGGGAUAACUCCGGGAAACCGGGGCUAAUACCGGAUAAUAUUUUGAACCGCAUGGUUCGAUAGUGAAAGACGGUUUCGGCUGUCACUUAUAGAUGGACCCGCGCCGUAUUAGCUAGUUGGUAAGGUAACGGCUUACCAAGGCGACGAUACGUAGCCGACCUGAGAGGGUGAUCGGCCACACUGGAACUGAGACACGGUCCAGACUCCUACGGGAGGCAGCAGUAGGGAAUCUUCCGCAAUGGGCGAAAGCCUGACGGAGCAACGCCGCGUGAGUGAUGAAGGUCUUCGGAUCGUAAAACUCUGUUGUUAGGGAAGAACAAAUUUGUUAGUAACUGAACAAGUCUUGACGGUACCUAACCAGAAAGCCACGGCUAACUACGUGCCAGCAGCCGCGGUAAUACGUAGGUGGCAAGCGUUAUCCGGAAUUAUUGGGCGUAAAGCGCGCGUAGGCGGUUUCUUAAGUCUGAUGUGAAAGCCCACGGCUCAACCGUGGAGGGUCAUUGGAAACUGGGAAACUUGAGUGCAGAAGAGGAGAGUGGAAUUCCAUGUGUAGCGGUGAAAUGCGCAGAGAUAUGGAGGAACACCAGUGGCGAAGGCGGCUCUCUGGUCUGUAACUGACGCUGAUGUGCGAAAGCGUGGGGAUCAAACAGGAUUAGAUACCCUGGUAGUCCACGCCGUAAACGAUGAGUGCUAAGUGUUAGGGGG
This 796-nucleotide ribosomal RNA is filed under the name Staphylococcus sp. 100B3_12EMannit. RNAcentral describes it as "bacterial SSU rRNA". It matches the Rfam family "Bacterial small subunit ribosomal RNA", at positions 53 to 830 of the family's 1533-position model. The record is from RNAcentral. Lineage: Bacteria; Bacillati; Bacillota; Bacilli; Caryophanales; Staphylococcaceae.